Long non-coding RNA from Zeugodacus cucurbitae (melon fly), 1093 nucleotides. RefSeq lists it as uncharacterized. The transcript has 4 exons. NCBI's taxonomy places the organism in Eukaryota, Metazoa, Arthropoda, Insecta, Diptera, Tephritidae. The record is from RefSeq and is a predicted model, not a curated record.
CGUAAAACUAAAGUUUUAUAAAGCCAAAAUAUGGAAUUGAAGAGGGUGAUACAGUAAUACUUCAUUGCACUGUCAAUUCGAAGCACGCAAUAAAAGUUACGCCAACAAUGGUCAACAUCAAGAGCGAAACCAUUGAAUAUAUAUUUCAAACCUCACACAGCGCGUUAAAGAUACGCAACCUAAUUGGUGUUACUUAUGGUAGCAACGUAAAACUUUCGAAUCAAUAGAAUAUAUACUGCAAGCAAAUCCAGAACUAUGGAUGCUAACGCUGCUACAUCGAACACAAAUCAUUUACACACCAGAUAUUAGGUUUAAUGUCACUUUAUUAAACCUUUUGGUCAACACAAGCACGUGAAGAAUUGGAACGACAUGGUUUGGGUACUUUUGUAACCGUUUAUCAUAGCGUGUGUCAACUGGGUUUUGCCAAUGAGCUAGAGGGCAAAGCAGUUGCAGUACUUUUGGACUUACCGGCACCUCAGUUGGCCGUGCCAUUAGCAGCUAAAACACAGAAAUUAAAGGGAGGACUUUAUUGAUUCAUUUUCACCUUGUAUUGAGGAAUCAUAACGUUGUUGUGUCGCUUUACAUGGAUUCACCGAAAUUAGUUCAAUGGAAAUUCUAAAGCAAGAGCAUGGAUGUUAAGACUAGAACGUUGGCCGUGCUAGAUUUAGCAUUCCUGAAACAUAAGAAACUGGCUUUUCACCGAAGAAUUCGCCUGUUUUGCAGGUUGGUAAUACAAGGGAAUUCCCCGAGCAUUAGUUAGCCGCACGAUAACAACUGAGACCAACUUAGGUGGCGAACACUCAACAUAUGCAUUCUUUGCGCUCCCAUUCUCUCAAUGUUUUGCACAAGCUCAGAGAGCACUCUCUGAUCACCAACACUGACUGUGCAAAUUUUGGUAUUAUUUGCCCAGGUGUUGCCAGAUCACUCAAAUUAGCUAAAUAAAUUUACAUUUUAUUAUCAGAAAUUUGUGACAUAAGUAAAUGGUUCAUAUACAUAUUUAUUUUAUUUAUUUUUGUAUAAGUUUUAGAGUAAAGAAAUUAUUGUGGCAAUUAUCAUGGUAAUAAAAAUACACACCGCACUGAAAUGUCUUGAA